Molecule: ribosomal RNA, 941 nt
Filed under: uncultured Oceanobacillus sp.
Lineage: Bacteria; Bacillati; Bacillota; Bacilli; Caryophanales; Bacillaceae
Description: bacterial SSU rRNA
Rfam family: Bacterial small subunit ribosomal RNA
Source: RNAcentral
GACGAACGCUGGCGGCGUGCCUAAUACAUGCAAGUCGAGCGCGGGAAACUCUUCUGAUCCCUUCGGGGUGAAGAGAGUGGAACGAGCGGCGGACGGGUGAGUAACACGUGGGCAACCUACCUAUAAGACUGGGAUAACUCGCGGAAACGUGAGCUAAUACCGGAUAAUACUUUUUAUUGCAUAAUAAGAAGUUUAAAAGACGGCGCAAGCUGUCACUUAUAGAUGGGCCCGCGGCGCAUUAGCUAGUUGGUGAGGUAAAGGCUCACCAAGGCAACGAUGCGUAGCCGACCUGAGAGGGUGAUCGGCCACACUGCGACUGAGACACGGCCCAGCCUCCUACGGGAGGCAGCAGUAGGGAAUCUUCCGCAAUGGACGAAAGUCUGACGGAGCAACGCCGCGUGAGUGAAGAAGGUUUUCGGACCGUAAAACUCUGUUGUUAGGGAAGAACAAGUCAGGUAGUAACUGACCUGACCUUGACGGUACCUAACCAGAAAGCCACGGCUAACUACGUGCCAGCAGCCGCGGUAAUACGUAGGUGGCAAGCGUUGUCCGGAUUUAUUGGGCGUAAAGCGCUCGCAGGCGGUCUUUUAAGUCUGAUGUGAAAGCCCACGGCUUAACCGUGGAGGGUCAUUGGAAACUGGAGGACUUGAGUGCAGAAGAGGAGAGUGGAAUUCCAUGUGUAGCGGUGAAAUGCGUAGAGAUAUGGAGGAAUACCAGUGGCGAAGGCGACUCUCUGGUCUGUAACUGACGCUGAGGAGCGAAAGCGUGGGUAGCGAACAGGAUUAGAUACCCUGGUAGUCCACGCCGUAAACGAUGAGUGCUAGGUGUUAGGGGGUUUCCGCCCCUUAGUGCUGAAGUUAACGCAUUAAGCACUCCGCCUGGGGAGUACGGCCGCAAGGCUGAAACUCAAAAGAAUUGACGGGGACCCGCACAAGCGGUGG